Molecule: ribosomal RNA, 460 nt
Filed under: uncultured bacterium
Lineage: Bacteria
Description: partial 16S ribosomal RNA
Rfam family: Bacterial small subunit ribosomal RNA
Source: RNAcentral
CCUACGGGAGGCAGCAGUGAGGAAUAUUGGUCAAUGGACGAGAGUCUGAACCAGCCAAGUAGCGUGAAGGAUGACUGCCCUUUGGGUUGUAAACUUCUUUUAUAUGGGAAUAAAAUGUUCCACGUGUGGGAUUUUGUAUGUACCAUAUGAAUAAGGAUCGGCUAACUCCGUGCCAGCAGCCGCGGUAAUACGGAGGAUCCGAGCGUUAUCCGGAUUUAUUGGGUUUAAAGGGAGCGUAGGUGGAUUGUUAAGUCAGUUGUGAAAGUUUGCGGCUCAACCGUAAAAUUGCAGUUGAAACUGGCAGUCUUGAGUACAGUAGAGGUGGGCGGAAUACGUGGUGUAGCGGUGAAAUGCUUAGAUAUCACGAAGAACUCCGAUUGCGAAGGCAGUUCACUGGACUGCAACUGACACUGAGGCUCGAAAGUGUGGGUAUCAAACAGGAUUAGAUACCCGAGUAGUC